RNAcentral lists this ribosomal RNA (234 nucleotides) under Triticum aestivum (bread wheat). RNAcentral describes it as "partial small subunit ribosomal RNA". Lineage: Eukaryota; Viridiplantae; Streptophyta; Magnoliopsida; Poales; Poaceae. The record is from RNAcentral.
AUGGCGCGGGUGAGAGCUUGGGGUACACCGCGGAGUUCUGCCUCAACCCGAUGUGCUUGCGGGAUAAGGAUCUCUGGCUUAUGCAGUGCCCAUAGAUAUGCAACUGGGCGGUUGAGUUUCAUUUUCCGCAUCGCGUGUAUCGUCAGUUUGGUCUUUUCCAGCCUCACCCGCCGGAUUGGGUGGACACGGAUAAAGCACUUCAUAGGUUGGACAGGAGAAGGCAACGGAAGAUAA